CGGGAUGUAGCGCAGUUGGUAGCGCGCUUGGUUUGGGACCAAGAUGUCGCAGGUUCGAAUCCUGUCAUCCCGA
RNAcentral lists this transfer RNA (73 nucleotides) under Treponema saccharophilum. Its description in RNAcentral is "tRNA-Pro". It matches the Rfam family "tRNA". Rfam says of the family: Transfer RNA (tRNA) molecules are approximately 80 nucleotides in length. Their secondary structure includes four short double-helical elements and three loops (D, anti-codon, and T loops). Further hydrogen bonds mediate the characteristic L-shaped molecular structure. tRNAs have two regions of fundamental functional importance: the anti-codon, which is responsible for specific mRNA codon recognition, and the 3' end, to which the tRNAs corresponding amino acid is attached (by aminoacyl-tRNA synthetases). tRNAs cope with the degeneracy of the genetic code in two manners: having more than one tRNA (with a specific anti-codon) for a particular amino acid; and 'wobble' base-pairing, i.e. permitting non-standard base-pairing at the 3rd anti-codon position. The record is from RNAcentral. RNAcentral also lists the same sequence under 2 other names. Lineage: Bacteria; Pseudomonadati; Spirochaetota; Spirochaetia; Treponematales; Treponemataceae.